GGGGGUAGUUUUUAGUACGUAAGCGCCAUGGAUGGCGAAUCGCGCAUGCUGCUACUAAGAACCAGCAGUAUCUUUUGAAGAUUUUCUACCUCC
Glossina pallidipes is the source of this 93-nucleotide non-coding RNA. The record is from Rfam. NCBI's taxonomy places the organism in Eukaryota, Metazoa, Arthropoda, Insecta, Diptera, Glossinidae.